UACGGAAGGCGGCAGUGGGGAAUAUUGCACAAUGGGCGCAAGCCUGAUGCAGCCAUGCCGCGUGUAUGAAGAAGGCCUUCGGGUUGUAAAGUACUUUCAGUCGUGAGGAAGGUGUUAAGGUUAAUAACCUUAGCAAUUGACGUUAGCGACAGAAGAAGCACCGGCUAACUCCGUGCCAGCAGCCGCGGUAAUACGGAGGGUGCGAGCGUUAAUCGGAAUUACUGGGCGUAAAGGGCACGCAGGCGGUUAAUUAAGUUGGAUGUGAAAUCCCCGGGCUUAACCUGGGAAUGGCAUUCAAGACUGGUUAGCUAGAGUCUUGUAGAGGGGGUAGAAUUCCAUGUGUAGCGGUGAAAUGCGUAGAGAUGUGGAGGAAUACCGGUGGCGAAGGCGGCCCCUGGACAAAGACUGACGCUCAUGUGCGAAAGCGUGGGGAGCAAACAGGGAUUAGAUACC
This 453-nucleotide ribosomal RNA is filed under the name uncultured bacterium. Its description in RNAcentral is "bacterial SSU rRNA". It matches the Rfam family "Bacterial small subunit ribosomal RNA", at positions 340 to 786 of the family's 1533-position model. The record is from RNAcentral.